This is a non-coding RNA of Lonchura striata (white-rumped munia), 237 nucleotides long. The record is from RefSeq and is a predicted model, not a curated record. Lineage: Eukaryota; Metazoa; Chordata; Aves; Passeriformes; Estrildidae.
CAUCUCAAUACCUGUCAAGAGCAUAUUUCUCAUGCUUUUUCUUUCCCCUCAAUACAGUGUUUUGGAAAGAUUGCUGCCUAUUCCACUUGUGGAAGAUGCCAUCACAGGAACAGGAAGACCUAAACUGAUCCUCAGAGUUUUCUUGAACUUACAGCCAGAUGCAUUAAGGAAAAUAUAUUUAUCUUGCAAACUUUUACCAUCAGACACUGGAAAACUCAUGAGACAUUAACAGCUCAA